UACGGGGGGGGCAAGCGUUGUUCGGAAUUACUGGGCGUAAAGGGCUCGUAGGCGGCCAACUAAGUCGGACGUGAAAUCCCUCGGCUUAACCGGGGAACUGCGUCCGAUACUGGAUGGCUUGAGUUUGGGAGAGGGAUGCGGAAUUCCAGGUGUAGCGGUGAAAUGCGUAGAUAUCUGGAGGAACACCGGUGGCGAAGGCGGGUCUCUGGGCCGAUACUGACGCUGAGGAGCGAAAGCGUGGGGAGCGAACAGG
This 253-nucleotide ribosomal RNA is filed under the name uncultured bacterium. RNAcentral describes it as "partial 16S ribosomal RNA". It matches the Rfam family "Bacterial small subunit ribosomal RNA", at positions 524 to 776 of the family's 1533-position model. The record is from RNAcentral.